AGGUGACAGUGUAGAGAAUAGCAUGUGGAAGGCCGGGCAGGGAUGGUACCCAGAGCACAGGGGAGAAGGCAAUUUUUUUCUGAGAUAUGAAAAUAUGAGAGACAGCGUAUAUACAGUGCUGUUGUAA
Molecule: long non-coding RNA, 127 nt
Filed under: Fukomys damarensis (Damara mole-rat)
Lineage: Eukaryota; Metazoa; Chordata; Mammalia; Rodentia; Bathyergidae
Description: lncRNA (ENSFDAG00000025940.1)
Source: RNAcentral